AAUCCUGAAGGUUCUAUUCUAAGACAAAGAUGCCUUCAAGAUUAACCUUCCACCCGAGUCGAGAACUCUCAUCAUCUCUUCUUUGAUCGAUUUUGUAGUUCUUUUCGACCAACUUCCCUAUGCUGAACAAAUAAUUUUUCAUGCCUGGUAUGUACAAUACAUUGGAAAUUGAUGACCUCUUGCCAUCUUUCCUCAUAAUCAGAACAUCACCAAUA
This 215-nucleotide long non-coding RNA is filed under the name Lathyrus oleraceus (garden pea). RNAcentral describes it as "Pisum sativum (pea) long non-coding RNA (PSAT_LNC029416)". The record is from RNAcentral. Lineage: Eukaryota; Viridiplantae; Streptophyta; Magnoliopsida; Fabales; Fabaceae.